UCCGGUCUCGAUAGCGGAGUGGCACCACCUUUUUCCAUUCCGAACAGAGAAGUUAAACGCUCCAGCGCCGACGAUAGUAUGCGGGCAACUGUAUGCGAAAAUAGGUCAAGGCCGGAA
RNAcentral lists this ribosomal RNA (117 nucleotides) under Candidatus Woesebacteria bacterium RIFCSPHIGHO2_01_FULL_38_26b. Lineage: Bacteria; Candidatus Woeseibacteriota. The record is from RNAcentral.